Molecule: ribosomal RNA, 243 nt
Filed under: uncultured bacterium
Lineage: Bacteria
Description: partial 16S ribosomal RNA
Rfam family: Bacterial small subunit ribosomal RNA
Source: RNAcentral
UAACACGUGGAUAAUCUGCCCUGCACAGGGGGACAACAGCUAGAAAUGGCUGCUAAUACCGCAUAAGCCUACAGCCUCGCAUGAGGGAGUAGGAAAAGAAAUUCGGUGCAGGAUGAGUCCGCGUCUGAUUAGCUAGUUGGAGGGGGUAAGAGCCCACCAAGGCAACGAUCAGUAGCCGGCCUGAGAGGGCGACCGGCCACAUUGGGACUGAGACACGGCCCAAACUCCUACGGAAGGCAGCAG